RNAcentral lists this ribosomal RNA (428 nucleotides) under Bacteroidota bacterium. Its description in RNAcentral is "Bacteroidetes bacterium partial 16S ribosomal RNA". It matches the Rfam family "Bacterial small subunit ribosomal RNA", at positions 355 to 776 of the family's 1533-position model. The record is from RNAcentral. Lineage: Bacteria; Pseudomonadati; Bacteroidota.
UAGGGAAUCUUCCGCAAUGGACGCAAGUCUGACGGAGCAACGCCGCGUGAGUGAAGAGGGAUUUCGGUUCGUAAAACUCUGUUGUUAGAGAAGAACAGCGCAUAGAGUAACUGUUAUGCGUGUGACGGUAUCUAACCAGAAAGCCACGGCUAACUACGUGCCAGCAGCCGCGGUAAUACGUAGGUGGCAAGCGUUGUCCGGAUUUAUUGGGCGUAAAGCGAGCGCAGGCGGUUAGAAAAGUCUGAAGUGAAAGGCAGUGGCUCAACCAUUGUAGGCUUUGGAAACUGUUUAACUUGAGUGCAGAAGGGGAGAGUGGAAUUCCAUGUGUAGCGGUGAAAUGCGUAGAUAUAUGGAGGAACACCGGUGGCGAAAGCGGCUCUCUGGUCUGUAACUGACGCUGAGGCUCGAAAGCGUGGGGAGCGAACAGG